AUGUACGUGGAGUAUCUGAUCAUACUAGAUCAUUCAGGACAGGGCAGCAAGCCGAUCGAGACCAAUCUCAGGGAGCGAGGACCCCCUCGCUGUGACUACUCGCGUCUGCGCUCAUUGUUGCCCUCGCGGUCAUCGCGGCAUCCAUCUAUACUGUACGACAAUCCAUUAUGUACUCCUUGUGUGCUCACUCAUCCGCCCACGGUCAUGAUGUGUUGCCACCAUGCCGUCGACUUGUAUACGUAUACCACGCGUGAUCGCCGGGAUCUAUUGGUUGCUCAUCAUAACGUAGUGAUGCAUCUGAACUUGAUCGAUCUAAUCAAGGACGCUAGCUUGGCUAGCUUCGUGCAUCUCGGCAAAAGGCAUCGACCAGCGACCGGCAAGGAUCGAUUGGGGCGAAUUUUUUUCCCAUUAAGUCAUACUAUCGGGUCGGGUUUGGGUAUAUCCAUGGGUAUAAGAUUAUAUCCAUGCCCUACCCACGAGCAAUCGGGUCGGGUUUGGGCGCCGCCCAUGGACACAAAAGCAUAUCCAAACCCUAUCCAUUCGGAUCGGAUAUCCAUGGGUAAAAUUGCCAUCCUUAGGGGCGAGGAAAUUGAGAACAUAUUCCCCUCCGUGAAAGGCACUUCUGCAAGCAAACCAGAAAAGCUUGCAGUGCUCCGCCAGAUCAAACAGGUUGCUGAGCACAAUAGGAUAUAG
Molecule: ribosomal RNA, 693 nt
Filed under: Triticum aestivum (bread wheat)
Lineage: Eukaryota; Viridiplantae; Streptophyta; Magnoliopsida; Poales; Poaceae
Description: partial small subunit ribosomal RNA
Source: RNAcentral